GCUUUCUUUUCUGAAAUCAUAAGAGGUAUAUAUUGGCAAUGCAUUGAAAUUCAAUUACAUUUAAAAGAAAUGGGAAAACACAUCGCUCAUUAAAAUAGCACUGCAAAAAUACAUCAACAGCAGUCCAUUUCCAAUAGCCAACAUAAAUUGCCCCAUUUAAAGUUUGAGAGGAAAUAAGAGUUCUUGCAUAAAUUAGUUCACCAGUUCACUAUUUAUGUCAUACAAGGUCAAAUUGGAGUCCAAAAAUUUUUUUCCUUUCCGAUUUACCACAAAUUUUAAAAUGUUCAAGCAGUACAAGAAAGCAAUAACUUCUAACCUUUUCAUGAUGUUUCUUAGAGUG
This 340-nucleotide unclassified non-coding RNA is filed under the name Hevea brasiliensis (rubber tree). Lineage: Eukaryota; Viridiplantae; Streptophyta; Magnoliopsida; Malpighiales; Euphorbiaceae. The record is from RNAcentral.